Molecule: ribosomal RNA, 253 nt
Filed under: uncultured bacterium
Lineage: Bacteria
Description: partial 16S ribosomal RNA
Rfam family: Bacterial small subunit ribosomal RNA
Source: RNAcentral
UACGAAGGGAGCUAGCGUUGUUCGGAAUCACUGGGCGUAAAGCGCACGUAGGCGGAUUUGUCAGUCAGGGGUGAAAUCCCGGGGCUCAACCUCGGAACUGCCUUUGAUACAGCAAGUCUUGAGUUCGAGAGAGGUGGGUGGAAUUCCUAGUGUAGAGGCGAAAUUCGUAGAUAUUAGGAAGAACACCGGUGGCGAAGGCGGCCCACUGGCUCGAUACUGACGCUGAGGUGCGAAAGCGUGGGGAGCAAACAGG